Molecule: ribosomal RNA, 200 nt
Filed under: uncultured bacterium
Lineage: Bacteria
Description: partial 16S ribosomal RNA
Rfam family: Bacterial small subunit ribosomal RNA
Source: RNAcentral
AUUGAACGCUGGCGGAAUGCUUUACACAUGCAAGUCGAACGGCAGCACGGGAGCUUGCUCCUGGUGGCGAGUGGCGAACGGGUGAGUAAUACAUCGGAACGUACCCAGUUAUGGGGGAUAACUAACCGAAGGGUUAGCUAAUACCGCAUACGCCCUGAGGGGGAAAGCGGGGGACCGUAAGGCCUCGCGUAAUUGGAGCG